This 1750-nucleotide long non-coding RNA is filed under the name Lactuca sativa (garden lettuce). Its description in RNAcentral is "long non-coding RNA (LSAT_LNC003072)". Lineage: Eukaryota; Viridiplantae; Streptophyta; Magnoliopsida; Asterales; Asteraceae. The record is from RNAcentral.
AGGAGAAAUGUACCAGUAACUAUCGUAGGAUCAGCUACCGCUUCCUCGUGGCCUAGGGCCAUAACUCUCCCUACUCCUCCAGCCAUCUCUUCUUUAGGGCAGUUCCUCUUGUAGUGGCCCACUUCGCCACUACCAUAACAAGCUUGGCCCAUACCGGCGUUAGGAACCUGGGCAGCCUGAGCUGUUGGAGUCUUGCAGAAACGAACUGUAUGCCCCUUCCUGUUGCAGUUAGAGCAUUGCAUCUCCUUGCAAGUGUUGGAUAAGGUGUCUAAGUCCAUAACUAUUUUUGGUAUGUACUUGACCCGACCCGGCAUGGUCCAUUUGGGUUGCAUGGCACCAUGCAAUUGGAUAAACUAAAUGAGAGAAAUAACACUUGGAGAUUAUUAAUAUAUUAUAAGUUCUAAUAUAUUAAUAAUAUUAUUUGAUUAGUUGAUCAAAGAAUUAAUUUGGAAUUAAUUAAGUGAUCAAAGGAUAACUAAUUAAAUACAUGGGUUGAUUAAGUAAAUCAUCCAUAUCUUGUAUAGUGGGCUAAAAGGCUCCAUGGAUCAUCAAGUUGGGUUCCACCCAUAGGAGGCUCCAUGGAUGCUCCAUGGGAGUUACAAACCCAUGGGUCAUGGAAAUGAAGAGUCAUGACACAUUAGGGUUUAACCCUAGAUGUGUCAACACUAUAUAAGUAAUAUGAUCUCCUCCCAAAUCGGUUACACACUAAGGAAUAAGGGGGCUUGGCCGAUUUUGAAGAGUGUGUAUUCUCUCAUAAGUUCUUCCAAGAGCAUUUGGUGUUGUGUGAAGCAUUUGAGGCAUCACCACUUGAGGUGCUAGGCUCACAAGGUUUCAAGGAACACAAGCAACAACAAGGUAAGUUAUUCUAUCUAUACUUUAUGUUAAAAUUGUUCCCCAUGUAUGCUAGAUAGGAUAUAACCUUGGAAUUCAACUUUGCAUGACAAAUUAGACAAACAUAGAUCCAAGGUUAUUAGGGUUGCAUGUACACUUAGGAAGUGUUAGAAUGCUCAAAACCCAUCAGUGGUAUCAGAGCCUAGGCUUGUUUGUUUGUUAUUUGUGCUUAAAAGUUGAAGAAAGUCGAAAAUCUUGCUGUCUGACUGAUGGACUCGGCGAGUCCAUGGGGAGGACUCGACGAGUUCAUGUGUAUCUUCAACCUACUCGGCGAGUAGGUUUAUGCACUCGGCGAGUAGGGUCGACAGAGUGCAGAAUUUCGACUUGUGUUGCUGGAAAUGGAUUAGAAUCAUUACCCUAAAAUGUUUUGGUACUUGAAAACUUAUUUUAGAAGGUGUAAUGUCUUUUCUAACUCAUUUACAACAACAAAUUAUCAAAAUUACAAAGAUUAAAUGUGAUUUUGAUUCUUGAAAGUGUUCAUAUUCAUAUUCUUGUUCUUAUGAUGUUUAGAUGAUCAUAGGAAUUAUUUGUAACCUAUGUGGUAGAUUAAUUCAUGAUCAUAAUGUGUUUUAAUGGAGUCCAUAACUUGUCCUCAAGUUAUGGAAAACCAAAAGUCUCUUGGAUUAAAAAACAUUAAAAGAACACAAGAGUUAGGAAAAAUGAAAAGUCCUCAUUUUAUUACUCUAUUAAACUCAUAAGUUACAAGAAAUGAAAAGUUUUGAAAGUUUACAAAACUUGCCCUCAAGUUUUGGAACAAGUAAAGUUAAGUUAAAACUUUAGUUCCAACCCCUAGAAUUUUAAAAGUUAAAAUUCAACCCUUAUACUUAUAUUAUUAUGAUUUAAUAAUUAUAUAUAUAUG